Molecule: long non-coding RNA, 226 nt
Organism: Balearica pavonina (black crowned-crane)
Lineage: Eukaryota; Metazoa; Chordata; Aves; Gruiformes; Gruidae
Rfam family: SOX2 overlapping transcript exon 1
About the family: SOX2 overlapping transcript (SOX2OT) is a long non-coding RNA, containing at least 5 exons. The SOX2 gene, an important regulator of neurogenesis, lies within one of the introns of SOX2OT.
Source: Rfam
ACAGCUUUGGACAAAAGUCUAUAGCCAGUGCAUUCGUAACUCCCCAUGCACAAGAGCUGACUGUGGCUCUGGGAAGACAUUUUACUCAUUUGAUUUCUUUUUUCUUGUAGUCGUCUUGUCCAGUUCUCAGGUGUUUACCACCUAUUAGAAUUUCACCUGUAUGGGUUCUGUGUUUGAGAAAGUCCCAGGACUUGUCAGCUGUAUAGGCCUCAUAAAAGACAGCUCU